RNAcentral lists this ribosomal RNA (923 nucleotides) under uncultured archaeon. Its description in RNAcentral is "bacterial SSU rRNA". It matches the Rfam family "Archaeal small subunit ribosomal RNA", at positions 1 to 922 of the family's 1478-position model. The record is from RNAcentral.
UUCCGGUUGAUCCCGCCGGAGGCCACUGCUAUGGGGGUCCGACUAAGCCAUGCGAGUCAUGGGGCGCCUUGCGCGCACCGGCGGACGGCUCAGUAACACGUCGGUAACCUACCCUCGGGAGGGGGAUAACCCCGGGAAACUGGGGCUAAUCCCCCAUAGGCCUGAGGUACUGGAAGGUCCUCAGGCCGAAAGGGGCUCUGCCCGCCCGAGGAUGGGCCGGCGGCCGAUUAGGUAGUUGGUGGGGUAACGGCCCACCAAGCCGAAGAUCGGUACGGGCCAUGAGAGUGGGAGCCCGGAGAUGGACACUGAGACACGGGUCCAGGCCCUACGGGGCGCAGCAGGCGCGAAACCUCCGCAAUGCGGGCAACCGCGACGGGGGGACCCCCAGUGCCGUGGCAUCGCCACGGCUUUUCCGGAGUGUAAAAAGCUCCGGGAAUAAGGGCUGGGCAAGGCCGGUGGCAGCCGCCGCGGUAAUACCGGCGGCCCGAGUGGUGGCCGCUAUUAUUGGGCCUAAAGCGUCCGUAGCCGGGCCCGUAAGUCCCUGGCGAAAUCCCACGGCUCAACCGUGGGGCUUGCUGGGGAUACUGCGGGCCUUGGGACCGGGAGAGGCCGGGGGUACCCCUGGGGUAGGGGUGAAAUCCUAUAAUCCCAGGGGGACCGCCAGUGGCGAAGGCGCCCGGCUGGAACGGGUCCGACGGUGAGGGACGAAGGCCAGGGGAGCGAACCGGAUUAGAUACCCGGGUAGUCCUGGCUGUAAAGGAUGCGGGCUAGGUGUCGGGCGAGCUUCGAGCUCGCCCGGUGCCGAAGGGAAGCCGUUAAGCCCGCCGCCUGGGGAGUACGGCCGCAAGGCUGAAACUUAAAGGAAUUGGCGGGGGAGCACUACAAGGGGUGGAGCGUGCGGUUUAAUUGGACUCAACGCCGGA